CCUUGCGCUAUCAGAUGAGCCUAGGUCGGAUUAGCUAGUUGGUGAGGUAAUGGCUCACCAAGGCGACGAUCCGUAACUGGUCUGAGAGGAUGAUCAGUCACACUGGAACUGAGACACGGUCCAGACUCCUACGGGAGGCAGCAGUGGGGAAUAUUGGACAAUGGGCGAAAGCCUGAUCCAGCCAUGCCGCGUGUGUGAAGAAGGUCUUCGGAUUGUAAAGCACUUUAAGUUGGGAGGAAGGGCAGUUACCUAAUACGUAAUUGUUUUGACGUUACCGACAGAAUAAGCACCGGCUAACUCUGUGCCAGCAGCCGCGGUAAUACAGAGGGUGCAAGCGUUAAUCGGAAUUACUGGGCGUAAAGCGCGCGUAGGUGGUUCGUUAAGUUGGAUGUGAAAUCCCCGGGCUCAACCUGGGAACUGCAUUCAAAACUGUCGAGCUAGAGUAUGGUAGAGGGUGGUGGAAUUUCCCUGUGUAGCGGUGAAAUGCGUAGAUAUAGGAAGGAACACCAGUGGCGAAGGCGACCACCUGGACUGAUACUGA
Molecule: ribosomal RNA, 541 nt
Filed under: Pseudomonas sp. 120426_NH_C_A3
Lineage: Bacteria; Pseudomonadati; Pseudomonadota; Gammaproteobacteria; Pseudomonadales; Pseudomonadaceae
Description: bacterial SSU rRNA
Rfam family: Bacterial small subunit ribosomal RNA
Source: RNAcentral